This 350-nucleotide ribosomal RNA is filed under the name uncultured Sphingobacteriales bacterium. RNAcentral's name for it is "bacterial SSU rRNA". It matches the Rfam family "Bacterial small subunit ribosomal RNA", at positions 1032 to 1382 of the family's 1533-position model. The record is from RNAcentral. Lineage: Bacteria; Pseudomonadati; Bacteroidota; Sphingobacteriia; Sphingobacteriales.
ACGUAGGUGCUGCAUGGUUGUCGUCAGCUCGUGCCGUGAGGUGUCGGGUUAAGUCCCAUAACGAGCGCAACCCCUACCUUUAGUUGCCAUCAGGUAAUGCUGGGGACUCUAAAGGAACUGCCUACGCAAGUAGUGAGGAAGCGGGGAUGACGUCAAAUCAGCACGGCCCUUACGUCCAGGGCUACACACGUGCUACAAUGGCCGAUACAGAGGGCAGCUACCUGGUGACAGGAUGCAAAUCUCCAAAGUCGGUCUCAGUUCGGAUCGGAGUCUGCAACCCGACUCCGUGAAGUUGGAUUCGCUAGUAAUCGCGCAUCAGCCAUGGCGCGGUGAAUACGUUCCCGGGCCUU